This 1208-nucleotide long non-coding RNA is filed under the name Homo sapiens (human). RNAcentral describes it as "HSALNT0194224". Lineage: Eukaryota; Metazoa; Chordata; Mammalia; Primates; Hominidae. The record is from RNAcentral.
GCCUCAGCCAACAUCUUGACUGCAAGCUCAUGAGAGACCCGAGCCAGAACUACCCAGUUAGGGGCUGGGCAGUGGCUCAACUCGAGGCAGAUCACCCACCCACUUCCAAGAUCCAACUAUAAGCUUUUUAACUGCAGCAACUUAAGUAUACGCUACUAGAACUGGAAUUAAUCAUUCUAUACUUAAAACAAAAAACCCUAGGGUCUCCUGGAUUUCUGGGACAUGCAAUUGUCAUCAGUAAGAAGGAAUUUCAAAAUAAAGGACUCCACCUUUUCUAAAAUUUAUGCCAAUUACUUGAUUUCCUUGUCUUGUUAAAUCCUCCUAAAUUGUGUGGGACAUUACUAACCACAGCAAGCAUCUGUGUCUGGUUCUUGAUUUUUAGUGAAAUGGCUUUUAGUGUUUUGUUGUUUAGAAUGAUAGUUGCUGUUAGUUUUCUUUAGUUGAGGUAUACAUAAUAAAAUUUAACCUUUUAAAGUGUACAGUUUGAUGAGUUUUAACAACUACUGAUAUCAAGAUCAAGAGCAUUUCUGUCACCCCAAAAAGUUCCCUGGUACUCCUUUGCAGACAUUCUUUUAUAUCUUUACUUCAGUUUAAAUAAGAUACUUGCACUUAUGCUGUAACUCCAUUGUUAAUAUUUGCACAAGGCUGGGCACAGGGGCUCACGCCUGUCAUCCCAGCACUUUGGGAGGCGGAGGCAGGCUUGAGCCCAGGAGUUUGAGAACAGCCUGGACAACAUAGGGAGACCCCAUCUUUACAAAAGAAAAAAACCUCAACUUUGUUCAUAAUAAGCUCAAAGUAUCCCUUUUUUUUUUCUUUUUUUUUUUUCUGAGACCGAGUCUCGCUGUCACCCAGGCUGGAGUGCAGUGGUGUGAUCUCGGUUCACUGCAACUUCCACCUCCAGAGUUCAAGUGAUUCUCCUGCCUCAGCCUCCUGUGCAGCUGGAAUUACAGGUGCUUACCACCACACCUGGCUAACUUUUGUAUUUUUUAAGUAGAGAUGGUGUUUCACCAUGUUGGCCAAGCUGGUCUCAAACUCCUGACCUCAAGUGAUCAGCCCACCUCGGUCUCCCAAAGUGCUGGGAUUACAUGCCACUGUGCCAGGCCUACAAAAAAAAGUUUUAAGUUAGCCAGAUGUUGGUGGCACAUGCCUGCGGUCCAGCUACUCAAGAGGCUGAGAUGGGAGGACUGCUUGAGCCCAGAAGGUCGGGC